Chelonia mydas (Green sea turtle) is the source of this 783-nucleotide long non-coding RNA. RefSeq lists it as uncharacterized. The record is from RefSeq and is a predicted model, not a curated record. The transcript has 3 exons. Lineage: Eukaryota; Metazoa; Chordata; Testudines; Cheloniidae.
GGCACUUACCUUCCGCUCUCUGUCCCAGUCUAGGGAGAUCCUGUCUAAUGAUAAGAUGUUUGCUCGGGUUUAUAUAAGGGAUAACAUGAGACUUAGGGCAUGUCUACACUUACCUCCAGAGCGAUCGAUCCAGCGGGGGUCGAUUUAUCGCGUCUAGUGAAGAUGCGAUAAAUCGACCGCCGAGCACUCUCCCGUCAACUCCAGUACUUCACCGCAGCGAGAAACAUAGGUGGAGUCGACAGGGGAGCAUCAGCAGUCGAUCUACUGCAGUGAAGACACCGUGCCACUUUCGAUCUCCAGGCUUCUACUCCCUGCUCUGCUGGCAGGGCAUUGGGCAGCACCCUUUCCAGACCACCUGGGUGCAGGAGAUCAAGGAGGAGGGCAAGAGACUAGGCAUCAGAUGCAGCGACUGAGGCGGAUGCUGAGGAGGAAGGCCGGGCUGGUGGCUCCGGAGCCGGUAGGGAGCAGCGGCCGGCUUUCCCAGGAGGAGAGCAGCCCCUCUGUCCCCGCGGGCGGGGAAGAGGCCAGUGGCCAGGCGAGGAGGAGGAGCUCCCUGGCUUUCUGGAGGAGGAGGAAGACACCAGCUCCCUUAGCAUGCCCUGAGGCCCCUUCUGGUCCCAAAUGGAGGUGGCCCAGGGUGAUGCUAUGUAGGAGGGACCCAGGAGAGGGUGGGUGCCUGGGAAGGCGGCUCUGGAGCUUCCUUUACAGGAAGCAGAGGAGCCAGGAGCCGCACCCCAGUGCCCAACCGGAGCCAUCCACCAGUCUGGCCACUGAGGAGCCCCC